CAACGAGUGCAUCAUGGUGUU
RNAcentral lists this non-coding RNA (21 nucleotides) under Arabidopsis thaliana (thale cress). The record is from RNAcentral. Lineage: Eukaryota; Viridiplantae; Streptophyta; Magnoliopsida; Brassicales; Brassicaceae.